GGCCUGGUGGCUCAGUUGGUUAGAGCGCCGCCCUGUCACGGCGGAGGUCAUGGGUUCAAGUCCCAUCCGGGUCG
This 74-nucleotide transfer RNA is filed under the name Eubacteriales bacterium. RNAcentral describes it as "tRNA-Asp". It matches the Rfam family "tRNA". From Rfam's summary of the family: Transfer RNA (tRNA) molecules are approximately 80 nucleotides in length. Their secondary structure includes four short double-helical elements and three loops (D, anti-codon, and T loops). Lineage: Bacteria; Bacillati; Bacillota; Clostridia; Eubacteriales. The record is from RNAcentral.